RNAcentral lists this transfer RNA (55 nucleotides) under Dipodomys ordii (Ord's kangaroo rat). It matches the Rfam family "tRNA", at positions 1 to 54 of the family's 71-position model. From Rfam's summary of the family: Transfer RNA (tRNA) molecules are approximately 80 nucleotides in length. Their secondary structure includes four short double-helical elements and three loops (D, anti-codon, and T loops). Further hydrogen bonds mediate the characteristic L-shaped molecular structure. tRNAs have two regions of fundamental functional importance: the anti-codon, which is responsible for specific mRNA codon recognition, and the 3' end, to which the tRNAs corresponding amino acid is attached (by aminoacyl-tRNA synthetases). tRNAs cope with the degeneracy of the genetic code in two manners: having more than one tRNA (with a specific anti-codon) for a particular amino acid; and 'wobble' base-pairing, i.e. permitting non-standard base-pairing at the 3rd anti-codon position. Lineage: Eukaryota; Metazoa; Chordata; Mammalia; Rodentia; Heteromyidae. The record is from Rfam by way of RNAcentral.
GGCUCAGUGGCUCAGUGGUAGAGCACUUGCCUUGCAUGCAUGAGGCCCUGGGUUU